GACGAACGCUGGCGGCGUGCUUAACACAUGCAAGUCGAACGGAAAGGCCCUGCUUGUGUGGGGUGCUCGAGUGGCGAACGGGUGUGUAACACGUGAGUAACCUGCCCUUGACUUUGGGAUAACUUCAGGAAACUGGGGCUAAUACCGGAUAGGAGCUCCUGCUGCAUGGUGGGUGUUGGAAAGUUUCGGCGGUUGGGGAUGGACUCGCGGCUUAUCAGCUUGUUGGUGGGGUAGUGGCUUACCAAGGCUUUGACGGGUAGCCGGCCUGAGAGGGUGACCGGCCACAUUGGGACUGAGAUACGGCCCAGACUCCUACGGGAGGCAGCAGUGGGGAAUAUUGCACAAUGGGCGGAAGCCUGAUGCAGCAACGCCGCGUGCGGGAUGACGGCCUUCGGGUUGUAAACCGCUUUCGCCUGUGACGAAGCGUGAGUGACGGUAAUGGGUAAAGAAGCACCGGCUAACUACGUG
RNAcentral lists this ribosomal RNA (468 nucleotides) under uncultured bacterium. RNAcentral describes it as "partial 16S ribosomal RNA". It matches the Rfam family "Bacterial small subunit ribosomal RNA", at positions 28 to 507 of the family's 1533-position model. The record is from RNAcentral.